Molecule: ribosomal RNA, 510 nt
Filed under: uncultured bacterium
Lineage: Bacteria
Description: bacterial SSU rRNA
Rfam family: Bacterial small subunit ribosomal RNA
Source: RNAcentral
GAUCCUGGCUCAGAGUGAACGCUGGCGGCAGGCCUAACACAUGCAAGUCGAGCGGCAGCGCGUCCGACCACCCUCGGGUGGUCGGAUGGCGGCGAGCGGCGGACGGGUGAGGAAUGCAUCGGAAUCUGCCUCGUUGUGGGGGAUAACGUAGGGAAACUUACGCUAAUACCGCAUACGACCUACGGGUGAAAGUGGGGGACCUUCGGGCCUCACGCGAUGAGAUGAGCCGAUGCCGGAUUAGCUAGUUGGCGGGUAAAGGCCCACCAAGGCGACGAUCCGUAGCUGGUCUGAGAGGAUGAUCAGCCACACUGGAACUGAGACACGGUCCAGACUCCUACGGGAGGCAGCAGUGGGGAAUAUUGGACAAUGGGGGCAACCCUGAUCCAGCCAUGCCGCGUGUGUGAAGAAGGCCUUCGGGUUGUAAAGCACUUUUGUUGGGGAAGAAACCGGCCGGGUUAAUACCCUGGUUGAAUGACGGUACCCAAAGAAUAAGCACCGGCUAACUUCGUG